RNAcentral lists this ribosomal RNA (501 nucleotides) under uncultured bacterium. RNAcentral's name for it is "partial 16S ribosomal RNA". It matches the Rfam family "Bacterial small subunit ribosomal RNA", at positions 30 to 523 of the family's 1533-position model. The record is from RNAcentral.
AUUGAACGCUGGCGGCAUGCCUUACACAUGCAAGUCGAACGGCAGCACGGGUGCUUGCACCUGGUGGCGAGUGGCGAACGGGUGAGUAAUACAUCGGAACGUACCUUAUCGUGGGGGAUAACGCAGCGAAAGCUGCGCUAAUACCGCAUACGCCCUGAGGGGGAAAGCGGGGGACCGUAAGGCCUCGCGCGAUUGGAGCGGCCGAUGUCUGAUUAGCUUGUUGGUGAGGUAAAGGCUCACCAAGGCAACGAUCAGUAGCUGGUCUGAGAGGACGAUCAGCCACACUGGGACUGAGACACGGCCCAGACUCCUACGGGAGGCAGCAGUGGGGAAUUUUGGACAAUGGGGGCAACCCUGAUCCAGCAAUGCCGCGUGAGUGAAGAAGGCCUUCGGGUUGUAAAGCUCUUUUGUCAGGGAAGAAACAGCAGCUUUAAUACAGCAUGCGAAUGACGGUACCUGAAGAAUAAGCACCGGCUAACUACGUGCCAGCCGCCGCCGUAA